RNAcentral lists this long non-coding RNA (5467 nucleotides) under Equus caballus (horse). Its description in RNAcentral is "lncRNA (ENSECAG00000059187.1)". Lineage: Eukaryota; Metazoa; Chordata; Mammalia; Perissodactyla; Equidae. The record is from RNAcentral.
GCAGCUCCUCCCGCCCCCGCCCUAAUGCGACGCCUCUUGAUUGCAUUUUGUGAACACCUUAUUCUUAGAUCAUUGGUUUUCCAAAGGCUUUGUGGCCGUGAAGCCCUUUGAAUGAAAACUGUGUGGAAGCCCAGAGUAAGAGUGAAGCUGCUCUGGAUGAAGCAGGAGUAGGGGGCCUGAAACCUGCCACAAGCAUCUUCUUUUACCACCAUGGUGACACCUAAGGAGACUUCUUUACAACAGCUAGAAUUCUGCAGAACACAGUUUGAAAACCACUGCCCUAGACAGCAAUAUGUUCGACCUGAAUGACAUUUUCAUCUAUACCUCUGCCGAAACAGUCCAAGUUCAGUUGUUGCCGAACAUUCUAAGGGAUACUAACUAUGAGCCAACUCAGAAAAGGCCAAGAAGAUGGGCGUGUCUUUGCCCCCCAGAGUCAUAUGGGCUGAAAGUGGUAUCAGAUGGACCUAGAUUAACAGCCCUCUGCCCUAGAUGGACUUCCACUCAUUCCUGGAAUUGGAUAGAACCAGAGAACAAUUCAUAUGUACUCUACACUGACAAACCCCUUUACCCAACUUCUUUCACACACACCAGAUGUUCUAGUGGUACUUGAAAUACAUGACUUGGAAGUCUUGAUCCUCCUUAGAUACCUGAAUUGCCAGGUAUUGAAGCUGAUAUUGAAGUUGAUGCCUCAUUGAGGCCAUAUUAGACCAACUUGUACGUUGAACCUCCCGUCAUCGGCCAUGGUACUGUACUUCGUGUGCAAGGGAUAACCAUUAACUAUGAAAGCAAAAUUCAGAUACUGGCAACGUUACCUAAAAGGGUACCUGGUUAUCAUUCAUCUUAAACUACAAGUCACUGUGACUCAACCAGUGGCAGUUACACUGCUCCUUGGUUUUUAUUCAGUUUAACUGCUGUUUCCAAGAUAAAUGAGCUAAUAACCUUAAAAAAAAAAGUUAAAACAAUUUCUCCAUCACUGGCAUUUCUGCCUGUUCUGUUCCAAAAAUUAUGAAUACUCAGCUCUAACUGCAUGUAACCCCGAUCCACAAGAGACAAUCUUUGAAUAUCCUUACUUGGGUGUAAUUUAAAAUGUGGCUGUUUGGAAAAUUUUCUUCUAGCCCACAAGGGAUGUUCUUUUAAGAUAGAUCUUUUGAUGUCUGGUACUAUCAAGUAUAGAUGUUAGGGAUAUUUGGAGGUAGGCCUGUUGGCCAGGCCAUGAUGACUGACUUGCUUGGCAUCUCAAAUUGCAUAUCAUCUACCUUUUUGGUGGAAAUGUAGAAUGACUUGAAAAAAAGUCUACAAAGCUUGCAGCUAAGUAUUAUCAGUAGACUCAAGAGCUUCCUGCUGCUGCUGCUUAAUGUCACAAGACCACAGUCCCUCGUCCUUGUGGAUGUUUUAAUGGAAUUUCAUCUGUCUCAGUGCUGUUGUUUCACACUUAUUCACAGUGGCUGACUUCAUUCCUUGCCGUGAGAUAUUCUCAGGCUUUAAGACAAUUUAUCUGUUUCUGCAGGAAGGAUUCCAUUUAUGAACUCCCAGACCAAAUCACAUCAAACAAGUAGACUUCGAUUUGUGUCAUGAAAGAAAUCUCAUUCCUUUACUACACAGUCAACGUAAGGGCCAGCUGUCCUCAACUACUUUAACAAAUGCACUGGUUAAAUGUUGGGAAAGGUUUCUUUAUGUCUUUGUCUCUUAUCCUUAUGGUGGUUACAUGACUGGGUCUACAAAUCAUCAAACAAGGCCUAAGUCUGUUUACUCUAGACUGUUCACCCUCAACAAAUAAAAAAUCUGAUGACUAGCCUGCUUGUAUAUACAACUAUUAUUUGUAAAGAAGAAAUCAUCUACAAACUAAGUUUUUCUACUACCUUCAAAACGUCAGCUCAAUUUUCUCUUUCUCUGUACUUUACAGAAAAAGAUAUUCAUCUACACUGCCAGUCAUUCCCUUUAAUCCUGUCAAAAUGAGGGGCUUAAGAAUGAGGAUGAUCGUCUGUUCUAGAGUCUAAUGAACACUGUAUAAGAGUUGAUGGUUGAAAAACCAAAACGCCUGAAACUCAAACCUAGUAUCUUGCCUACUAUCUCCAUGCCUCAGAUCUCAUCAGUCAACCAAUCUGAGGCCUUGACUUAUAUAUAAGGUGAUUCUCACAGAUAGGCUGAGUUACAGAGGAUGGAGACUUGAUUACCAAAGAAAGUAGGGCCAAUCUUGAUAAACCUGGCUCUCCCAACCUUAUCAAUCCCAGAUGUAGCAUAGGUUCCUAAACAGAACCUCAAGUCUGAAUUGAGGAUAAAGCCGUCUCCUGAGCUGAAAGCUCUGGGGAAAUGAACAGGAAAAUGAAAGCUGCUGUGCCUGACUGGCCCUUUAAGAUCAGAAAAAUGUAUCCAGAGUAAAGCCUGUGGAUUAACCCUGGAGUACUCAGGAUAAGAACUGAUUUACAGAGCUUCAAUAGUCAUCAUCCUGUUCUUCCAGAUCACGUCUGGCUAAUAGUAUGGCUGGCCCUGCUGAUGGUACCCUACUUGCCUGGUUACCUGAUUCAGCCCUUGCCUGCCUUUUUGGACAUGUUGCUGCAAACAGACUGACUGUGCUUGAGAAGACUACCAGUGAUCUUGGCCUAACUUAUACCCAGGCCCACCAAGGAAUUUUGAACAGAAGCAACCUGCACCUCAGCCUACCAGGACUUAAUGUUCACAACAGGAAGGACCAUUCUGUGUAAUCCUUGACCAACAGCUUUUUCUUGUUGUUAAGUGCAGAGUAAGCCUCUACACCUGUAUUUGAUUGUUUUCAGCACCUGGGACCCCUUUGAUCAGAUCUGCAGGAGUACAGCAGAUUGAAAUCAUUGUCCAUUCCUCUCUCGUGCACUAAUACAGAGAUGAGUCUGAUUCAUCAGCACUCACAGAAAUGUACCAGUUCAACUUGGCAAAAGACUUAACACAAGAAAACUCUUCCACUGAACUUAAAAUUUACCACUGACUUGAAUAGCCUCACAGAACUGUUCACUGGUGGGAGGCUAGUUAUCCUGCUUUAUGUCAGCAAGACAGUUGGGCCUUCAGACUCAUGACCACUGAGUUUACUUAUAUUGAAACUCUGUUGUAUCAUCCAGAGUAUGCUAUUGAACAUGAUUGUUUCAUUCAAAUGGAUUACAAACUUCCUGUGAACAGGACAAACUUACUCCUCAUGAUGUUCUUCCAGAGUAUUAUCGAGGAAGUAACAAUGUUAGCAUCAACUUUAUGACCAGAGAUUAAACUUUUGCGUUAUCUGGUCUUAUCAUUGGCAGGAGUUGUUUUUGAUUGACCAGCAUCCAUUCCAUCUCUUUGUAACAACUCCCUGAUGUUUCUUGGAACCAUAUUUACCUGUUUUCAGUCCACAUGGUUCAGACCUGAUCCAUCAGCAUAGUCCAUCUCCUUGACUGUAGUGAUUGGUUCAGGAAUGUUCAUGUGAUUCAAGUUGGUCUAGUGAUACUGAAGCCCAGGAAUUUUACUGAACUGUGGAGGAGGAGAAGCUCAGAAGCUCUCUUUAUUGAAGUCGCUUAGCUUUGUAAGAUGAAAAACUCAAACCACCAGGGCCCACCAUAUCAAAUGAGCCAGUCAGAAAGUGCCAGUGCAGAAGAAAGCAGAGCCAAAUGAUGGAGAGACUUGAGUCCUGAUAACAAAGUUUGUGCCCCUGGAUCCAACCGUGCCUGAAGCUAGUAUAUCCCCUGGACUUUUCAGUUAUGUGAACCAAUAAAUACCCUGUUUUGCUUAAGUUACUUUGAGUUGGGUUUCUCUUGCUUGAAAUUGAGUCCUACCUGAUACAGUAUCUACCAAUAUCGAAACUUGACAGAUCCAAGUAUUUAUUAAAUUAGAGCUUAUGGCCAUACUGAAAUUAUCUUCCAAAUCGGAACGCAAAAUGAGACAGGAACUGACAAUAUUCAAGUUACUACAGAAGUAUGAAAAUUACAUGGUAGAAAAAUGUAGAAGAAAACUUAAAAGUUUAUCAAAAGGAUUGGUUAAAUAACACAUGGUUCAGCCAUAAAAGAAAAUCUAGGUGUCUGUUAAAAUGGAUGAAGUAAAUUUAUUGUGUGUAGACAUGGAAAAAUGGCCAUAAUAUAUUAAGUGAAACAAACUAUUGACAGGAAAAUGUAUGAACUCAUUUAAAAAUGUGCAUAUUUAUGUUUAUAAUGCAUAGAAAAGUCUAUUAAUGGCUUUCUUUGAACAGUGUAGAUUACAUGAGAUUUUCAACUUUAUACAUUUCUGUAUUUGAAUAUUUUACACUACUCACAUUACUUUUAAACUUUAUUUAAAAAUAAAGAAUUUUAAAAAUUAAAUUUAGUCCUUACUGUUUGACCUUGGCAAGUUACUUGACACUGAGCCUGUUUUGUGAAAUAAUUUAAAAUACUUGUCUUUAUAUUAGUGAAUAUUUUGAUAAACAUGUUCAUCAUCCUUUACUCAAACUGACAGAUUGUUGCACCUUUAUUUGUUUGAGGAACUCAAAGCUCAGUAAUUUUCUUAAUUUUUCAAACAUCUCUCUUUAAAUGUCGUGAGUGUCUUUGAAUUAUCAGGACUUCAUAGUUUCAAUGUUCAUCGAUUAUUAUUCCAGUUCUCAACUGAUGUUAAUCUAUUCAGACCUCUAUUGGAGUGUUCACAGUAGACAGAAGGAAAAAGUUAAAUCCUUGAGUGUUCUGAUCUCACUUCAAGCAGGGUCGAUAAUGACCUUUUCAUUGCUAAGUCCAUUACAUCUUAUCUGAACUUUAAGCAGUGCAGACAACUCCAGCCAGCAUCUUGCCGUUCUCUUCUCUUAGAUGCUGUGACACUUCCAAUUUUCUUCCUGGCUAUUGCUGCGUUAUAGGUUCUUUUCUUCUCCCCAUCAUUUUAGUAUUGGUUUAGUGGACAUUCAUCGAUCUUGCCUCUCCCAAAUCAUUUCCCCUUUCCUUUCAUGAUAGAUCCCCACUUUUCCUGUGGAAUGCAACUCUUUCCCAUUCUGUGGUUUUAGUAGAAUGGUAAAUUACAAUAUUCUGGCCUCUUACGCCCUUGGCUGAGGUUUGAUCAUGUGAUCCAAGCUUGUCCAAUCAAAAAUCCCCUCCCACCAGAGCUUCGAGUCUUAACAGAGGUAGCAAAAUUGUAGGAGCUGAGUCAAUGUGAUGGUAGUGUCCCAAGGAAACCAUAUAAGAGUUGGUGCAAGGACGUCCCCAGAGGUGCUCUGGUUCCUCUUGUCAAGGCUUGGUCAUCCAGAUUUUCUUUUGAUUCUGUAGACUACCAUAUAUCCUCCUUAUAAUAAUGUUCCCUUUUAAUUUGUCAGCCAAAUAAAAAGUUCCGUUGCUUGCAACCAAAUGACAAUGAUUACAGAAAUCUUUAACAGUUAAAUAGUAGGCUUUGGACCCUCAGUAACAUGGAGGAUCUGGAAUUGAUUCUUGCACUGAGAGUGAAUUACAGGCAGCAACAACUCUUGCUCUAUGUCCUAGGGUAGGGAAUUGAGCAAUUUAUAGUGGCAAAACAGCUAGUA